UGUCACUUGCUGAUGGAACUAGAAGGCCAGCCUGCCUGGUGUUAGAGAGAGAGCCUUCCCCAUGAAGGUAAGCCGGGCUACAGAAGGUGUAGCAGAUGUGGUAAAUCCUGAUUGGAUGAAGCAAACAUGCACCUCCAUCACCCUUUGCCUGGUUCUGCUUAGACCUGUUCUGGCCGAUGCAAUGGGAGAGGUCUCCUGGGGGCUUCUGGGAAGGGGUUCUAGCUCCUAUAAAAGAGACACAAGGAAAAGACUGACCCCUUUUCACCUCUGGAUGCUGUGUAUAGAUGUUUUCUCAGAGCUGUGGCAGCCAUCUUGAGAUCACGAGGGGGUGACCCUGAGGAUGUCAGUAAGAAAGGAAGAACCUUGAUGCCAUCGCUGGGCUACUGAAUCAACCAGCCCUGGAGCUGCCCUACAUCUGAAUGUCUUGUUAGAGGUGAUGAUCAAUGCCUUCAUCAUUGGAACACUUCUGUGUGGGCUUCCUGGGACUUCCAAUGAAGCCCAGGCCAACUGAUGCCAGGUCUGAUGACUCCAAAUCAUGUCACCUGGAAGUAACAGAUGGCACAGGUGGUUGGUCAGCAGAGUCUGGUUGAAUCCCUUACUGAUUAACCUGUUGUUGCCUGCUUCUUCAAUCUGUGCCCAUAAAUGAGAAGAUCUGCUGUCCUUUUUUUUACAUCCAAAUCACCAUGGCCCAAGAAAGGAAAUGAACUUCUUCACAAGGACUCCCUGGGGAGUUUCGAAAGGCUUUCCCCACAGAAACAGAACAGGAAGCAGUCACUCAUCUCGGUCUCAGACCUUUUCAUGUGAAAGCCACCUGCUCCCUUCCCUCGGUCUCGUGUAUUCCAUGGGGACCAGAGACCGCCUGCUGCAAGAGAUAGUCUUGGGGGAGGAAGGAGCUGGCAGUUGUUCUUAGAAUGGUGCUUAGGGCAGUACUGGUCACAAAAUAAAUCUGGGUAAACAUA
Molecule: long non-coding RNA, 959 nt
Organism: Canis lupus familiaris (dog)
Lineage: Eukaryota; Metazoa; Chordata; Mammalia; Carnivora; Canidae
Exons: 2
Source: RefSeq, a predicted model, not a curated record